RNAcentral lists this ribosomal RNA (498 nucleotides) under uncultured bacterium. Its description in RNAcentral is "bacterial SSU rRNA". It matches the Rfam family "Bacterial small subunit ribosomal RNA", at positions 903 to 1397 of the family's 1533-position model. The record is from RNAcentral.
AAAGGAAUUGACGGGGACCCGCACAAGCGGUGGAGCAUGUGGAUUAAUUCGAUACUAACCGAAGAACCUUACCCAGGUUUGACAUUGCGAGAAAGCCAUAGAGAUAUGGCCCUCUCCCACAAGGAGACUCAAAAACAGAUGUUGCAUGGCUGUCGUCAGCUCGUGCCGUGAGGUGUACGGUUAAGUCCGCCAACGAGCGCAACCCUCGUCUUAUGUUGCCAGCGAGUAAAGUCGGGAACUCAUAAGAGACCGCCGGUGUAAGCCGGAGGAAGGUGGGGAUGAUGUCAAGUCAGCAUGGCUCUUACGCCUGGGGCUUCACACAUGCUACAAUGGACGAAACAAAGGGCAGCAAGACUGCGAGGUGGAGCUAAUCCCAAAAAUACGUCCUCAGUUCAGAUUGUAGUCUGCAACUCGACUACAUGAAGGCGGAAUCGCUAGUAAACGCAGGUCAGCUAUACUGCGUUGAAUACGUUCCCGGGUCUUGUACACACCGCCCGU